This 511-nucleotide ribosomal RNA is filed under the name uncultured marine eukaryote. RNAcentral describes it as "SSU rRNA". It matches the Rfam family "Eukaryotic small subunit ribosomal RNA", at positions 613 to 1121 of the family's 1831-position model. The record is from RNAcentral.
UUGUGGUUAAAAAGCUCGUAGUUGGAUCUCGGCGGUCUGAGGGCGGUUCGCUUGAUUGAGUGCUACUGCUCUAUAGGCCGUGGUUUUGCCAGAGGUCUCGGGGUGCUCUUAACCGAGUGUCCUGCGAUGCUGGCAAGUUUACUUUGAAAAAAUUAGAGUGCUCAAAGCAGGCUUUUACGCCUGAAUAUUCGUGCAUGGAAUAAUAGAAUAGGAAGUCGUUUCUAUUUUGUUGGUUUUCGGAAAUCGACUUAAUGAUUAAUAGGGACAGUCGGGGGCAUUUGUAUUCAAACGACAGAGGUGAAAUUCUUGGACCGUUUGAAGACAAACUACUGCGAAAGCAUUUGCCAAGAAUGUUUUCAUUAAUCAAGAACGAAAGUUAGAGGUUCGAAGGCGAUUAGAUACCGCCCUAGUUCUAACCCAUAAACGAUGCCAGCUAGCGAUCUGCCGACGUUUUCUUUGUAGACUCGGCAGGAAGCUUUCCGGGAAACCAAAGCAUUUGGGUUCCAGGGGA